Molecule: long non-coding RNA, 210 nt
Filed under: Gossypium barbadense (sea-island cotton)
Lineage: Eukaryota; Viridiplantae; Streptophyta; Magnoliopsida; Malvales; Malvaceae
Description: long non-coding RNA (GBAR_LNC016295)
Source: RNAcentral
UCCACUCUAAGUUCAAACAUGUUGAGCUCGACCUCUUCUUUGUCCGCUAAUGGUUCACUUGUUGUUGGUGAGGUAUCGGCUUGUGAUUAGGUUGCUGACAUCCUCACCAAACCUCUAUAUGUUUCGUCCUUUGAGCGUUUUCGCAAUUUUCUUUAGGUUUUACUUGUGGAGAAGUUGGGAGAAUGUUAAGAGUCUAAGAAAGGCACUCUG